Molecule: long non-coding RNA, 347 nt
Organism: Pomacea canaliculata
Lineage: Eukaryota; Metazoa; Mollusca; Gastropoda; Architaenioglossa; Ampullariidae
Exons: 3
Source: RefSeq, a predicted model, not a curated record
UAGCAGAAAUGUGACGUCGUUAGCUUACCUGGAGGAAUGCAAACAAUGGUUUCCAAUGGCGGUCUACCUUUGUCUGCCUGAAGGUACCCCAUCUGCGUGGACAAAGUAAUGAGGCAAGCAGCUCAGUGUUGUGCCAGUACCUUUGGCUCAGGCAGGAGUAGCAUCUUCACUGCUGUAGUACCGUCAGGAUACCGUCCAAUCCUGCAGUUUGUGUGAAAGGCCACUGUCUGCAAGAGUGACCAGCAACUUAUUUACUCUACUCUGAGGUUUAAGCGCUUAGAGAGCUGCCGAGAGAUCGAGAAUUCGAACUGACAUUAAUGGAAUUACACUUGCCCGGUACCUUGAAU